AUACAACAGCCCACCAACAGUCCUGAUUUGAAUGUGCUUGACCUGGGGUUUUUCAACUCGCUGCAAUCCUUGACAGAUUUUUUGAGUCCUAAAACACUACAAGACCUUAUUGCAGGUGUUUUGGAGGAAUUUGAAGGCUAUGAGGUUUACAAGCUCAACAAUUUUUUCCUAACUCUACAGUUGUGCAUGAUUGAAAUCCUGAACCAUGCAAGGGGCGAUGGGUAUAAAACACCACAUGUUAACAAGGAAAGGCUUGAGGGUCAUUGGCAGCUACCUCCAAGACUAACACGCCCUAAAGAGGUUUACGCAAAUGCCCUAUACAACUUAGAGCUAAUGGAGAGGGUUCGGUGA
This 351-nucleotide ribosomal RNA is filed under the name Triticum aestivum (bread wheat). RNAcentral describes it as "partial small subunit ribosomal RNA". Lineage: Eukaryota; Viridiplantae; Streptophyta; Magnoliopsida; Poales; Poaceae. The record is from RNAcentral.